CUGCUGAUCAGAAGGUCGGUGGUUCGAAUCCCCGUGACGGGGUGAGCUCCCAUUGCUCGGUCCCUGCUCCUGCCAACCUAGCAGUUCGAAAGCACAUCAAAGUGCAAGUAGAUAAAUAGGUACUGCUCCGGUGGGAACGUAAAUGGCAUUUCCAUGUGCUGCUCUGGUUCGCCAGAAGCGGCUUAGUCAUGCUGGCCACAUGGCCCAGAAGCUGAACGCCAGCUCCCUCGGCCAGUAAAGUGAGAUGAGCGCCGCAACCCCAGAGUCAACCACGACUGGACCUAAUGGUCAGGGGUCCCUUUACUUUCUUCAUGAAUGGUCUUAAGCAUUGAAUUGGAUUGUUUAACCCUGAAAGCAAUACAGUAUGUUGGAAAGGCCGCUGAAUAGCAAAAAUUAUUCUCACUCCACAGAGUAUAAUAUAUUUUCUUGACUGCUUGUUGGGGGAAGGGGAAACACUAUUUCAGUUAACAAUGCAAGUGGAGCAUACAAUUAACGAGCGCUCAGUUCAAUUGGAGGUGAAUUCAUGUCGUAUGUAAACAUAUCCCUGGGAUGGCGUAGUUGGUAGAACAUGAGACUCUUAAUUCCUGUCUUGUGGGUACGAGCCCCACGCUGGGCAAAAAAGAUUCCUGCAUUGCAGGGGGUUGGACUAGAUGAUCCUUGUGGUCCUUCCAACUACAGUUCGCCUACGACAUAAAGAUUUGCAGCGCAUGGCAGAGCUAUAGUUGUAGCACUGACGACUGCAUUAACUGUUGUCACCACAUUUCAAAAUAGUGGGGCUAUACCAGUGUGGACAGUUAGACUAAAUUGCCCUUAGAGAGGCAAAUGGCCGUAGUGGAUAGAGACACGGAAGGAGUAAAUAAGAAAAAUAAGCAAUUACUUCUACAGGACAGGGAAGGGUGGGUUCCUUCCCUGGCUUAAGA
This is a long non-coding RNA of Podarcis raffonei (Aeolian wall lizard), 920 nucleotides long. RefSeq lists it as uncharacterized. NCBI's taxonomy places the organism in Eukaryota, Metazoa, Chordata, Lepidosauria, Squamata, Lacertidae. The record is from RefSeq and is a predicted model, not a curated record. The transcript is spliced from 2 exons.